This 253-nucleotide ribosomal RNA is filed under the name uncultured bacterium. Its description in RNAcentral is "partial 16S ribosomal RNA". It matches the Rfam family "Bacterial small subunit ribosomal RNA", at positions 524 to 776 of the family's 1533-position model. The record is from RNAcentral.
UACGAAGGGUGCAAGCGUUACUCGGAAUUACUGGGCGUAAAGCGUGCGUAGGUGGUUUGUUAAGUCUGUUGUGAAAGCCCCGGGCUCAACCUGGGAAUGGCAAUGGAUACUGGCAGGCUAGAGUGCGGUAGAGGGUAGUGGAAUUCCCGGUGUAGCGGUGAAAUGCGUAGAGAUCGGGAGGAACACCAACGGUGAAAACAGACAGCUGGGAGUGUGCUGACGCUGAGACACGAAAGCCAGGGGAGCGAACGGG